UACGAAGGGGGCUAGCGUUGCUCGGAAUUACUGGGCGUAAAGGGCGCGUAGGCGGAUCGUUAAGUCAGUGGUGAAAUCCCGGAGCUCAACUUCGGAAUUGCCUUUGAUACUGGCGAUCUUGAGUGUGAGAGAGGUAUGUGGAACUCCGAGUGUAGAGGUGAAAUUCGUAGAUAUUCGGAAGGAACACCAGUGGCGAAGGCGACUACCUGGACUGAUACUGACACUGAGGUGCGAAAGCGUGGGGAGCAAACAGG
RNAcentral lists this ribosomal RNA (254 nucleotides) under uncultured Brevundimonas sp. RNAcentral describes it as "partial 16S ribosomal RNA". It matches the Rfam family "Bacterial small subunit ribosomal RNA", at positions 524 to 776 of the family's 1533-position model. The record is from RNAcentral. Lineage: Bacteria; Pseudomonadati; Pseudomonadota; Alphaproteobacteria; Caulobacterales; Caulobacteraceae.